CCAGCCCUUCAGCUUCUCCCCUGUGGAUUCUGGAAGCUUCCACUAUCCUGCUAGUAAAUUUCCUCUUUGUUCAAGAGGGCCAGAGGCAGUUUCUAUUGCUUGCCUUCAAGAACCCCCAUCAUACCAUGUACCCAGCAAUUCCACUCCUAGGUCUUUGAGGAAUCACCACACUGUUUUCCACAAUGGCUGAACUGAUCUAGACGCCCACAAACAGGGUAUAAGCAUUCCCUUUUCUCUGCAACCUCGCCAGCAUCUGGUUGUGGUUGAAUAAUAGCCGUGCUAACAGCCAUUCUGACUGGUAUGAAAUGGUAUCUCAUCGUGGUUUUCAUUUGUAUUUCUCUAAUGAUGACUGAUGAGCUUUGUUUCAUACGCCUGUUGGCCGCAUGUUUUUCGAGUGUCUUUUCAUACCCUUGGCCCACUUUUUAGCGGGAUUGUUUAUUUUCUUGAAAAUUUCUUGUAAAUAAGUUCCUUAUAGAUGCUGGAUGUUAGACUUACACCAUAUGCAACAAUCAACUUAAGAUGAUUUAUACACUUCAAUGUAUACGUGUGUAAAACUAUAAAAACCGUGAAAGACAACCUAGGCAAUACCAUUCUGGACCUAGGAAUGAGCAAAGAUUUCAUGACAAAGACACCAAAAGCAAUUGCAACAGAAGCAAAAACUGACAAAUGGGAUCUAAUACAACUAAAGACCUGCAACAGCAAAACUGAGUAAACAGACAACCUGCAGAAUAGGAGAACAUUUUGCAAACUGCAUCUGUCAAAAGUCCACCUUUUUUUUAACCUAGCAUUAUUCUAAACAAAAAUAUUCAUAGACUCAUUGGUUUGCUGUGCUCAUUGUAUUUUCCCCAAACAUAUAAAAAUCAGCACUAGAAAGUAAAAUGUAAAAUGUCUGCCAUCCUCCCUGUCACUUCUAUUCCUACAGUUUGGGAACCCUAUACUUGAAGAUUCCAUUUCAAGCACAAGCACAAGUUUGUAGCUUGUCGAGGAGCCCAGAGGGUAGAGACCACAGUCCUCCCUGUGCGCUUCCUUCAGUCAUCACAGUUUUGUUUUUGUUUUUGUUUUUUUGAGACAGGGUUUUGCUCUUGUUGCCCAGGCUGGAGUGCAAUGGCGAGAUCUCGGCUCAAAGCAAUCUUCGCCUCCCAGGUUCAAAUGAUUCUCCUGCCUCAGCCUCCCAAGUAGCUGGGAUUACAGACAUAUGCCACCAUGCCUGCCUAAUUUUUUGUAUGUUUACUAGAGGUGGGGUUUCACCAUGUUGGUCAGGCUAAUCUCAAACUCCCGACCUCAGGUAAUCCACCCAUGUUGGCCUCCCAAAGUGCUGGGAUUACAGGUGUGAGCCACCAGCACCCAACCACAGAUGUUUUAAUCACAGGCCUCAUGUGGCCUGGCCCUGCUCUGGGGAUGGGUGUUCUGGUCUGCUCAAAGAGGAGAGCUGCCACAGGGCCAGCCCCAUUCAGUAACCAGAUGGGUUGCUGGGGAUGGUCAUUGUUAUUCUAAUUUUGCUGAGAAAGACAUUGUCUGAGAAACAUUAACUAAUAUACCACAAGAAAACAAAACAGAUCUUUUGACAGUUCCAGUACUCUUUUAACUAUUGGGUUAAUGCAAAAGAAAUUGCAGUGGCCGGUAUAAUCUCUGUAAUCCCAACACUUUGGGAGGCCGAGGCAGGAGGAUCACAAGGUCAGGAGUUUGAGACCAGCCUGGCUGACACAGUGAAACCCCAUCUCCACUAAAGAUACAAAAAAUUAGCAGGGUGUGGUGGCGGGCAUCUGUAAUCCCGGCUACUCAGGAGACUGAGGCAGGAGAAUUGCUUGAACUCGGGAGGCAAAGGUCGCAGUGAGCUGAGAUGGCAGCAUUGCACUCCAGCCUGGGUGACAGGGUGAGACUCCGUAUCAAAAAAAUAAAAAAUAAAAAAUCGCAGCAUUUCGCCAUCACUUUAAUGGCAAAAACUGCAAUUGCCAUAGAAGAGUAUCAUUUUAACGGCAGAAACCACAAUUAGUUUUGCACCAACCUAAGAUAUCAUAGUGGGUCCUGAAGUUGGACAUUUUGGGGUGAUGUACUUGUAGUCUUUAUCAAACCAGGUCAUGCAUGUAUCUGCCACAUGUGCCUGUGGGUAGGAUCAGUAUCAAGGAAUGAGACACGAGUUCGGCUCUUUUUAGGGGUAGAAAGGGUAUAAUACCUUUCCCUCCCAUCAUAAGGGGCACAGCUGACACUCCUAUAACAAAAGACAGGUUAACAAGAGAAAAAGCUAACUGAUUUAUGUAAUCAAAAUUACUGAUACAGGAGCCUUCAGAAAUGAAGACCAAAGGGAAAACUGUCCACUUUUAUUUUUAGAUUUGAUGAAGGGUGGACAGCUAUGUAGAAAUGUGAUUGGACAAAAAGAGAAUAAUGUAAUAGUAACAGACAGCGUGGGGAAACCCAGCACGGCCUGUCUGCUUAGGUUCUUCUUUGUCUCUGUGUGAUAUUUCUUCCUCCCAGGUGAGAAGCAGGAUCCUUUUCGGAAUGAGGAUCUUAUUACCCACUAUUGAACAAGAGUAGGGCAGAUAAUUUCUUUAUGACCAGCUCCUACACAGAGAGGUGGGGGAAGGUUAAAGUCAUAUUUCUAGGUUGUAUGGUUUGCCCUGGGGGAAAGGGGCUCUAGUGUCUAUGACGUGCUUUGGGGAAGAGGCAUUCUGGGUUCUAUGACUUGCUUCGGGGGAGCAUGAAGGGCAACAGACAGAAGGGCAGGAGAAAGUCAGAGCCUGUUCUGAGGCUGCUUGCAAGGCCUUCCACUGUCCUUUAAUUCAAGGUACUCAGCAUGCCUAAGUGUUAGGGUAUUUUUUCAGAAACAGCUUCUAUGAUGAAAAUUCCAUCCACUGAAUUUCCAGCAUUUCCAUAUUUCGGUGAUAAGCAGUAACAAACUCCCCUGUUACUCUUUCCUCACACUAUCCCAUUUAUAGUUAUUAGCUCAAAAUCUCUAUUCCCCACUAGUCAGAAACCAUGUCUUUCUUACUAGUUGCUGUGUCUGCAACUAAUAAGAAGCAGGCAAUUCGAAGCAGGCCAGUAGAAGCAGGCCACAUAGGCUCCUAAUAAAUCUCCAUUUAAUUAACUAACAGUCCCUUACCUCAAGGACCAUAUAGACCACAGUGUGUGUGGCUGGGAGGUGGAAUGGGUAGGCUGAGACAAGGACACAGACAAGGGGCAGAAUUUACCACGGUGCACAGGUGCCUGCACAAUAGGCAGGGGGUGGGUGAGCCCUUCAGCCUCUUCAUCCCUGUCUUUUACAUCCUCUGCAUGGAGGAGGCUGUUGCCACCACCUGGGUCCAUUGGUAGGGGUGGUUUCCAUCUGUCCAGAAAGGAGAGCAGAGCAGAGCAGUGAUGCAUUUAUUCCAUCCAACAAAUGACUGUUGACAGCCAGCCCCAUGCAGAGCCCCCUGCCAGGCACCAUAGAGGAGGCAACUGUAACUCAGCCCUGCACUGAGUCCUGUGCACUCAGUCCUGAGUUCACAAAUUCAGCAGCCCAGGCCUGCCAUGUCCUUGCUCAGUGUUCUUUCCACAACAUCACUGCCUUCCACAAGUGAUGCCCUAGCUGCCAGAUACAGGAGGAUUCUUCUAGCACUAUGCAUGAGGAGGCUAUACAAAGAGUUUUCUGCUGAGAUGUACUUACACAGGUACCUGCAGCAUGCUCAGUGCAAGGGUGCGAUGGAAGAAAGACUCAUCUUCGCCCCAGGGAGCUUACAGUGGUAGCUGUGUCUGUAGGCCAGGUCAGAUGGAGGAGAUAAGAGGGGCCUGCUCUCAGUCAGUAGUCUAGACAGGAUGUGGGGUUAGUGUCUGGGAAGCUGGGAGCAGGGGAGCCAUGGGCAGAGGGAGGGAGGAGCAGGUGUCAGGAGCUCAUGAAGUACUUGGGAUCUGGGGCUUCAGUAACCUAUGGCUUCCUGGGUGGGUCUAGUCAUAGGAUGAGGCACUUACCCCAAUGUAACAAGCCCACAUGUUCCUUCAGCAGCCCCUGACCUUCUUUGGACCAGCAAUCACAGUGGGCAUGAAGGCUUUCUGCUUUUUGCUUCCUGUUUUCAGCAGUCUUUUCCCAUUAGGUUUCUGCUCUUCAGGCUACAGGAGCACCAAGGCCUGUUUUCUGAAAUGUGUGUGCUCACUUAACAGUGGGUGAACCAAUGUGGACACGAUUGCCUGAGCGAUUCUGAGGCAUGUUCAGUUGUCCAGGCAGAUCAAGGACAAAGAAACAGACUAAAGAGCAUAUGUGAAGCCUAAGUGAUGAUGUAAUGGUUGGUGUACAGCAGAGUGUCUGAACUUCAGCACUGCUGACAUUUUGGACCAGAUAAUCCUUUGUUCUGAGGGUCUGACUCGUGCAUCGCAGGGUGUCCAGCAGCAUCCCUGCCUCCACUCAGUACAUGAUAGUGAGCACCUCCCCACCUGUGACAACCAUAAAUACCUCUAGAAAUUUCCUGUGUCCCCAGGCUGUGUGUAAAAUCGUCCCCAGGGUGUAAAAUCAUCCCCUGUUAAGAACCACUGGGAUACUGGCUUUGAGUUUGAGUCCUGGUUCUACCGUUUGCUAGCUGUGUGAACAUAGGUAGCUUCUUUAAUCUGUGGCUCAGUUUCUUUAUCUGUAAAAUGGGAAGAAUAAUAAUACCUACCUCGUAGGAUGGUUAUGAAAUGAGUUAAUAUGUGUAAAGAACAGUGUCUAGCUAUAGCAAGCACUCACUAAGUACUGGCUGUUGUUCUUAUCACAGAAAUAAAAUGUAGAUAAAAUGAAUGUCAAAAAGACUCCUCCAUAAUUACCCCUUGUAGUACAGAAAUAAGAAAUUUAAUUCAUUUAUUUUCUGUCCUGCUUGUUUCCAGUAAACCAUUAGGUAGUUUAAAACCACACACAUUACUGGGCAAUUUAAAAUGGAGUCAGAUUAAUAACCAUUAAAAUUGGAGGAAAAACUGAAGAGGGAAAAGUUAAUUCUGUCAAGAACUCAAAAUCAGAUGUAGUGUUCACUUUAGCAAGUAACAGAAUCCUGAGCAGCCACUGCAAAAUAAGACACAGCCAAGAAAACUCACCAUCAGGGCCUCCAGGAGAAAUCAGCUUUUUCGACUAAGUCCAAAGGAGCUUUUUGUCAAGUGAGUCCUAACACAAGGUAUUUGAAUAACAAAAUGGGUGUUUCACCAGCAGUUCUAGAGACAAUGUUUACAUGUGUCUUGGAUAUGGUUCAGCUGUGUCCCCACCCAAAUCUCAUCUUGAAUUCCCGUGUGUUAUGGAAAGGACCCAGUGGGAGAUAAUUGAAUGAUGGGGGCAGGCCUUUCCCAUGCUGUUCUUGUGAUUGUCGAUAAGUCUCACGAGAUCUGAUGGUUUUAAAAAGGGGAGUUUUCCUGCACAAACUUCUCUUGUCUGCCACCGUGUGAGACGUGCCUUUUAUCUUCAUGGCCUCACUGUGAUUGUGAGGUCUUCCCAGCCACAUGGAACCGUAAGUUCAAUUACAUCUUUUUUCUUUUGUAAAUUGCCUAGGCUUGGGUAUGUCUUUAUCAGCCGCAUGAAAACAGACUAAUAUGUGCUUCAUCAAUAUUCACCAGCAAUAAAGGCUUAUUUAAAGCACUGCAACCAUGCAGCACUACUCUGGCCAAGAAUGUGCCUUACAAAAGGAACUCCCAACCCUAUCACCAAAGAAUGAAUUCCCUGGUAAAUCCCACCCCUGUAGUAGCAAGCUGGAGUUGGCAAGAGAAGCAGCCUCUCUCUCCUGGCUGCCUGGCUGAGCUGCAGGUCCUGCUCCAGGGAAACUGGCAGGGCUGGUCACUGGUCACUAUUGCCCACUGCCAGCUGCCUCAGCAGUCCAGUCCCACUCUCAGUAAAGGGGGCCCCACCGUGAGGUGUGGCACUGGGACUCUGGAGCCAAACUCUUCCACUGCUCUGUUCUGAAUGGCUCUCUGAGGAGAAGUAAGAGACAGAGGCCAGUACUGAGUGUGUGAAGUGAAGGGAGUGACUACAGAGUGAAGGCUGAGUGCUCCAGGCCAAAGGAAAACAGUUAUCAGGACAGGAUGUAUGGUGAGAGCAAAAUCCUGCCCUCUUAAUUUCACUGUGCCUCAGUUUCAUCUUCUGUAAAAUGGGGAUAAAAUUGAUCUUAGGGAGUAAUUGUGCAGAUUAAGAGAGUUUUAUGUAAAGUGCCUAGAGCAAGGCCUGACACACAGCAAACAUUAACUAUUGUUACGGUUAAUAACACUCAGCACUCUUGUGUACAUCCUAUACUGAAGCAACACAGCUCCUUGAGCGUAGGGAGUAACAAGAAAGGUUUCUGAACCUUUUAUUCACUGUGUGACCCUCAGCCUAGAGCCAAAUAAUGGGACCAAGCAUUUCUUUGUGGCCUAUUGGAGAACCCCUAAGCAUGGGAUACUAGUGUCCACUCUGCCACUAACUGAUACCCUUGCCAGUAUGGCCUUGGGGAAGUCCCUGCUCCUCUCUGGCCCUCAGUUCACUCACUAAAAAAUUAAUUGGUGGGUCUAAAAAUUUGAUUAUACAUUAUAAUCACUUGAAGACAUCAAAAAAUGCAGAUUCCCAGACUCUGCCAAUCAAAUCCAAGUUUCUGGAAAUGGAGGUUGAGAAUCUGCAUUUUAGUGAGCUCCCUAGACGAUCGUGAUGUUGUCAGGUUUGAAAGCCACUGACUACAUCAGCUCUAAGGCCCCUGUCAAUAUUCAGAUUCGUAAGAUACAUUGAUUAUAUACUCAUGGAGCAGAAAGGAGCUUUGAGUGGUCAUGUGCCUUAGAGGACCAGGGCAGAUGGCUGCUUUCCUGUGGAAAAGCUAUGCUAGUGCUCUGGUAACUCUUCCAGGGUUUAAUUUUUCCUGGCAUUAGGAAGAUACAUUUUCUAUCUAAUCAAAUGCUUCAUCUCAGCAAUUUACCUCCCACUCUGCUGGCUUUGAACUUAAGGGUGUAGAGAAGGGCUGGUCAGUACCCUGUCAGUAUCGCCCUUCAAGUACUUGAGUGCUGCUGGAGGUCAGACUAGACCUGACGUAUUAUUACUGAUGAAAAUGUCUCUUGACUUUGGCCCUUCCUUUUCAUUCCAUUGCAGCUGCCCAAGUUUAGGCUGCUAGCAGUCUUGUUUGGACCAUAUAACACCUUUCUUUCUUUCUUUCUUUUGAGAUGGAGUCUUGCUCUGUCACCUGGGCUGGAGUGCAGUGGCACAGUCUCAGCUUAUGGCAACCUCCACCUCCUGGGUUCAAGGGAUGCCCCUGCCUCAGCCUCAUGAGUAGCUGGGACUACCUACAGGCAGCAAUUGGAGAUGCCUUGGAUGUCCCAGAGCAGCGGCAAGGUUUACCACUUGGCCUCAGCUGAUGGAACCACUUGCAAUGGAAGGACUGAUAUCUCGGUCAGGUAACAGGCUGCUCCAGCUUAUUCUCUCUUCUCCUCCCCCUCCUUCUCCUCUGAGUUGAUCAUAUUUCCUUGGUGAUUUUCAUGCUUAGUCAUUAGAUCGUAGGGAACAAGUGAAUACCCCACUGGGACCUUGUCCAUAUAAACUACUAUGUACUAAUUAAUGUUUUCCUCUGUACUGCAUCUUUCUUCCUCCCUUCCUGGCACAAGUAUUUAUUUAACACCUACUGUGUGCUAAGUGGUAAGCACUAUUGUAGAGAAAAAAAGACCUGGGGAUGCUGUGUAUGAAAUAGAAAUGCCACAGUCCUCAUUAGCAGAAAAAUACACU
This is a long non-coding RNA of Callithrix jacchus (white-tufted-ear marmoset), 7657 nucleotides long. RefSeq lists it as uncharacterized. The record is from RefSeq and is a predicted model, not a curated record. Lineage: Eukaryota; Metazoa; Chordata; Mammalia; Primates; Cebidae.